AUUGAACGCUGGCGGCAUGCUUUACACAUGCCAGUCGAACGGUAACAGGCCUUCGGGUGCUGACGAGUGGCGAACGGGUGAGUAAUGCAUCGGAACGUACCCAGAGGUGGGGGAUAACGCAGCGAAAGCUGUGCUAAUACCGCAUGUGAUCUGAGGAUGAAAGCGGGGGACCGAGCAGCAAUGUUUGGCCUCGCGCCUUUGGAGCGGCCGAUGUCGGAUUAGCUAGUUGGUGGGGUAAAGGCCUACCAAGGCGACUAUCCGUAGCUGGUCUGAGAGUACGACCAGCCACACUGAGACUGAGACACGGCCCAGACUCCUACGGUGGGCAGCAGUGGGGAAUUUUGGACAAUGGGCGCAAGCCUUGUCCAGCAAUGCCGCGUGCGGGAAGAAGGCCUUCGGGUUGUAAACCGCUUUUGGCAGGAACGAAACGGUGUCCGCUAAUACCGGGCGCUAAUGACGGUACCUGCAGAAUAAGCACCGGCUAACUACGUG
Molecule: ribosomal RNA, 492 nt
Filed under: uncultured bacterium
Lineage: Bacteria
Description: partial 16S ribosomal RNA
Rfam family: Bacterial small subunit ribosomal RNA
Source: RNAcentral